This 371-nucleotide ribosomal RNA is filed under the name uncultured organism. Its description in RNAcentral is "bacterial SSU rRNA". It matches the Rfam family "Bacterial small subunit ribosomal RNA", at positions 527 to 896 of the family's 1533-position model. The record is from RNAcentral.
GUAGGGAGCAAGCGUUGUUCGGAUUUACUGGGCGUAAAGGGCGCGUAGGCGGCGCGGUAAGUCACUUGUGAAAUCUCUGAGCUUAACUCAGAACGGCCAAGUGAUACUGCAGUGCUAGAGUGCAGAAAGGGCAAUUGGAAUUCUUGGUGUAGCGGUGAAAUGCGUAGAUAUCAAGAGGAACACCUGAGGCGAAGGCGGGUUGCUAGGCUGACACUGACGCUGAGGCGCGAAAGCCAGGGGAGCAAACGGGAUUAGAUACCCCGGUAGUCCUGGCCCUAAACGAUGAAUACUUGGUGUCUGGAGUUCUAAUACUCCGGGUGCCGCCGCUAACGUUUUUAGUAUUCCGCCUGGGGAGUACGCUCGCAAGAGUG